AUAUAUAUAUAUAUAUUUAUUACCAUAUGACUUGCGAAAAACCGCGAAUCACAAAAGUCGAGCGAGGGAGACGCUCUGCAAUUGACAGUUGGCAUCCCUUCAUGUCGCGAGCCGAGUGAACAGGCGAAGCUGCGAUCGACGAAUCAGGCAUCGGCGUGAAGUUGCACAUUAGUUCAAAUUUUUCACAGGAUUUAUCAAGUAACGGAAUAUGGCGGAUGUGCUGUGCUCGCGAACGGUCGUCCGUUUAUCUCCGCGAUUUGCGACGUGUAUCGCGCGAAUAUGAAUAUAUAAGUGUCGGGAAGUGUCGUGACAUAUCAGGCGAUUAUCGGUAUCGCGUUAAUUCCGCUCUGUGAAGAAAUGACAAGGAGCAGAGAGAGAGAGUGUGGGAAGGAGGAAGAGGACACAGAUCGUUCGACAGUUAAUCCGUAUUUCGCCCGAUCGUAAUUAGUGUCGUUGUGUGUGUGUGUGUUACGUGACUGUCAAAAUAUGAGUGAGUGCAUAGCGAGUUGAAGAAAUGAAGGAGUCAACGACGACGUGGUCCAAGUCGUUCGUUGGAAAAGGACGGCGUCGUGUAGCUCCAUCUUCGUCGCUCCAACGGAUGUCUUCCACCGCAGAUGCAGAUUGAAGAGUUUCGACGCGCGUCGCAGUUUGAGGCCGAACGCGGCGCCGCUACAAAUCCUUCGAGCUGAAUUUACGAUUUUAAUUCGGGAUAGUCACCGAGAUGAGUCCAAGCGGAUCCGUACCAUGUAUCCUGACCAUAUUGCUUUUCAUUAUGGCCCGCGGUGUGCCUUCGGACCACCGACGUCGCUGCAAUUAAAACAACGGCCGUGCUCGAAUAAAAUUUCUCGAUACGUAAAAUUACU
Molecule: non-coding RNA, 863 nt
Organism: Nylanderia fulva
Lineage: Eukaryota; Metazoa; Arthropoda; Insecta; Hymenoptera; Formicidae
Source: RefSeq, a predicted model, not a curated record